RNAcentral lists this ribosomal RNA (433 nucleotides) under uncultured bacterium. RNAcentral's name for it is "partial 16S ribosomal RNA". It matches the Rfam family "Bacterial small subunit ribosomal RNA", at positions 29 to 507 of the family's 1533-position model. The record is from RNAcentral.
AACGAACGCUGGCGGCAUGCCUAACACAUGCAAGUCGAACGAGACCUUCGGGUCUAGUGGUGCACGGGUGCGUAACGCGUGGGAACCUGCCCUUAGGUUCGGAAUAACUCCCCGAAAGGGGUGCUAAUACCGGAUAAUGUCUUCGGACCAAAGAUUUAUCGCCUUUGGAUGGGCCUGCGUUGGAUUAGCUAGUUGGUAGGGUAAAAGCCUACCAAGGCGACGAUCCAUAGCUGGUCUGAGAGGAUGGCCAGCCACACUGGGACUGAGACACGGCCCAGACUCCUACGGGAGGCAGCAGUGGGGAAUAUUGGACAAUGGGCGAAAGCCUGAUCCAGCAAUGCCGCGUGAGUGAUGAAGGCCUUAGGGUUGUAAAGCUCUUUUACCCGGGAUGAUAAUGACAGUACCGGGAGAAUAAGCUCCGGCUAACUCCGUG